Molecule: ribosomal RNA, 449 nt
Filed under: uncultured Gordonia sp.
Lineage: Bacteria; Bacillati; Actinomycetota; Actinomycetes; Mycobacteriales; Gordoniaceae
Description: bacterial SSU rRNA
Rfam family: Bacterial small subunit ribosomal RNA
Source: RNAcentral
GUCCUACGGGAGGCAGCAGUGGGGAAUAUUGCACAAUGGGCGCAAGCCUGAUGCAGCGACGCCGCGUGAGGGAUGACGGCCUUCGGGUUGUAAACCUCUUUCGCCAGGGACGAAGGGUAAGUGACGGUACCUGGAGAAGAAGCACCGGCCAACUACGUGCCAGCAGCCGCGGUAAUACGCAGGGUGCAAGCGUUGUCCGGAAUUACUGGGCGUAAAGAGCUCGUAGGCGGUUUGUCGCGUCGGCUGUGAAAUUCUGCAGCUUAACUGUAGGGGUGCAGACGAUACGGGCAGACUUGAGUGCUACAGGGGAGACUGGAAUUCCUGGUGUAGCGGUGAAAUGCGCAGAUAUCAGGAGGAACACCGGUGGCGAAGGCGGGUCUCUGGGUAGUUACUGACGCUGAGGAGCGAAAGCGUGGGGAGCGAACAGGAUUAGAUACCCUUGUAGUCCC